UUAGACAUUAACCAGUAUUAAAGGCAACGCCUGCCCAGUGAAUAAUUAAACGGCCGCGGUAUCCUAACCGUGCAAAGGUAGCAUAAUCACUUGCCUAUUAAUUGUAGGCCUGUACGAAAGGCAUCAUGAGGGUCUAACUGUCUCUUUUAGUAAAUCAAUUAAACUGAUCUCCCAGUUAAAAAGCUGGAAUAAUAACAUAAGACCAGAAGACCCUGUGAAGCUUUAACUAAACUAUUAAAUCCUAUAAUAGCUACUUUAGGUUGGGGCGACCUUGGAAAAAAAGAGAACUUCCAAAUACUUUAUAUUUUUAUAUAAACUAAGACCAACAGGUCUAUAACGACCCAGCAUAGCUGAUAAUUGAACCAAGUUACUCCAGGGAUAACAGCGCUAUCUUCUUCAAGAGCCCAUAUCAAAAAGAAGGUUUACGACCUCGAUGUUGGAUCAGGACACCCCAAUGGUGCAGCCGCUAUUAAAGGUUCGUUUGUUCAACGAUUAAUAGU
RNAcentral lists this ribosomal RNA (500 nucleotides) under Laticauda frontalis. Its description in RNAcentral is "partial 16S ribosomal RNA". It matches the Rfam family "Bacterial large subunit ribosomal RNA", at positions 1830 to 2594 of the family's 2925-position model. Lineage: Eukaryota; Metazoa; Chordata; Lepidosauria; Squamata; Elapidae. The record is from RNAcentral.